Long non-coding RNA from Vanessa tameamea, 402 nucleotides. RefSeq lists it as uncharacterized. Lineage: Eukaryota; Metazoa; Arthropoda; Insecta; Lepidoptera; Nymphalidae. The transcript is spliced from 3 exons. The record is from RefSeq and is a predicted model, not a curated record.
AUCGACAUUCUCGGGCCAAUCACAUAUUCUCUUGUGAGGGUUGUAGAGAAGGUUGCCGGGACAGUUCAUUGCAACGGGUUUGCCAUUGAAGCAUUUGUAGAAUUGGUUGCAGUUUUCGUGUGCGAUUAAGACUCCGUCAGAACCAUCCUGACCGCAAAUCGAAGGUGCUUCGCCUGGAUUGCAGUUACAAGUUCCAUCAUUGUCAUCCUCGCCGUCAUCACCACCUUCAUCACCACCAUCACCGCCGGCGUCACCUCCACCGUUAUCAUUAUCGUUGUCAUUUUCAUCACCUUCUGGAAUUACUCUGUCUCCACAAUCGACAUUCUCGGGCCAAUCACAUAUUCUCUGGUGAGGGUUGUAGAGAAGGUUGCCGGGACAGUUCAUUGCAACGGGUUUGCCAUU